UUUCCGUAAAUAAUUUCAGGUGUUGUAAAACUUAACAGGGAAUCCCGUGAAAAUCGGGAGCGGGCCCGCCGCUGUCAUCGGGGACAAAUCUCACAAGAUGCCACUGUCUGAGAAGUGAGAAAUGAAAAGUGAGAAAUGCCUUAAUUCUCACUUCUCACUUAAAAGCCGGGAAGGUGUGAGUAUGAGGACGAUCCGAGAGCCAGAAUACCUGCCUGAAUGAAAAAAAAUAC
Molecule: non-coding RNA, 230 nt
Filed under: Desulfobacteraceae bacterium
Lineage: Bacteria; Pseudomonadati; Thermodesulfobacteriota; Desulfobacteria; Desulfobacterales; Desulfobacteraceae
Source: RNAcentral